RNAcentral lists this long non-coding RNA (924 nucleotides) under Ricinus communis (castor bean). RNAcentral describes it as "long non-coding RNA (RCOM_LNC003034)". The record is from RNAcentral. Lineage: Eukaryota; Viridiplantae; Streptophyta; Magnoliopsida; Malpighiales; Euphorbiaceae.
AUUAAAGGCAAACCGUACAAUCUGACCCACUAGAGCAUCACAUCUUCAUUUUUUCCUUUUGGUUUCCUUGAGGAAGCCAACGAGGAUAAUUAAUUGUAGUGGCUUUGGACAAAAUGGGUCUUCGUCAUUUGAACAUCCAAACUCAUUCAGUACCAUUGUCUUUAAUUUGUCACAUGCUGCACCAUACAGAACAUUAAAAUUCAGAAGAAACACCAGACCCCAUGACAGAAAAUAUUAGGUUUGGACACCAUUUUAAUAUAGGGAAGAAAAACAUGAACUGAAAACAAGAGCUCUAACCGUCUUAUUACUCCAACCCAAAAUAUCACAUCUAACUAUGUAAGUGUAAGAUGUUCACCCACCUUUUGAGGUUGAGAAUUUCUUGUAAUUAUUAAAAUUCUAACCCGGAAAAAGAGAGAGUAUAAUAAUAAUAAUGUUUUUUUAUUUAAUUGAGAUUCAUAAAAUAGAUAAUUUUUUUAAAUAAAUUUUAUAUUAAUAAAUAUAUAUAUUUUAUAGUAUCAAAAUAUUUCUUUCAGUUUUAUUAUUUCUAUUUUAAUUUAUCUCUUAUGUUUUCUAUUCGGAUGAAAUAAAUUCUUUAGUGAAUUUCAACUAAGUAUAGUGCUAAUAUAUUCAUAUUUAAUGUUAAGAGCUAAAGAAAUAUAAAAUUACUAUUAAUAUUUCUUUUGGAAUUAUUAGUGGAAUAUAACAUAUUUUAUAUUAAAGAAUGACUCAUAUGAUAUUACAGUAGAAAAAUGUAUACAAAAAAAAUUGUAAUUUAUUGACCGACAAAAUAAACCCAUUGUAAUUGAAAUUUGUGUUGUGUCGUAUUUUAAACUUACUUUGAUUUGAUGCACCAAAUGAUAUCAUUGAUCUGCCUAUGCCUUCCAUAUUACAUAUAAUUUCUGCUGUGACUAAAUUGAGGUAAAG